AGCCCAGAGCCUGAAUCAGUGUGUGUGUUAGUGGAAGCGUCUGGAAAGGCGCGCGAUACAGGGUGACAGCCCCGUACACAAAAAUACACAUAUUGUGAGCUCGAUGAGUAGGGCGGGACACGUGGUAUCCUGUCUGAAUAUGGGGGGACCAUCCUCCAAGGCUAAAUACUCCUGACUGACCGAUAGUGAACCAGUACCGUGAGGGAAAGGCGAAAAGAACCCCGGCGAGGGGAGUGAAAAAGAACCUGAAACCGUGUACGUACAAGCAGUGGGAGCACGCUUAGGCGUGUGACUGCGUACCUUUUGUAUAAUGGGUCAGCGACUUAUAUUCUGUAGCAAGGUUAACCGAAUAGGGGAGCCGAAGGGAAACCGAGUCUUAACUGGGCGUUAAGUUGCAGGGUAUAGACCCGAAACCCGGUGAUCUAGCCAUGGGCAGGUUGAAGGUUGGGUAACACUAACUGGAGGACCGAACCGACUAAUGUUGAAAAAUUAGCGGAUGACUUGUGGCUGGGGGUGAAAGGCCAAUCAAACCGGGAGAUAGCUGGUUCUCCCCGAAAGCUAUUUAGGUAGCGCCUCGUGAAUUCAUCUCCGGGGGUAGAGCACUGUUUCGGCAAGGGGGUCAUCCCGACUUACCAACCCGAUGCAAACUGCGAAUACCGGAGAAUGUUAUCACGGGAGACACACGGCGGGUGCUAACGUCCGUCGUGAAGAGGGAAACAACCCAGACCGCCAGCUAAGGUCCCAAAGUCAUGGUUAAGUGGGAAACGAUGUGGGAAGGCCCAGACAGCCAGGAUGUUGGCUUAGAAGCAGCCAUCAUUUAAAGAAAGCGUAAUAGCUCACUGGUCGAGUCGGCCUGCGCGGAAGAUGUAACGGGGCUAAACCAUGCACCGAAGCUGCGGCAGCGACGCUUAUGCGUUGUUGGGUAGGGGAGCGUUCUGUAAGCCUGCGAAGGUGUGCUGUGAGGCAUGCUGGAGGUAUCAGAAGUGCGAAUGCUGACAUAAGUAACGAUAAAGCGGGUGAAAAGCCCGCUCGCCGGAAGACCAAGGGUUCCUGUCCAACGUUAAUCGGGGCAGGGUGAGUCGACCCCUAAGGCGAGGCCGAAAGGCGUAGUCGAUGGGAAACAGGUUAAUAUUCCUGUACUUGGUGUUACUGCGAAGGGGGGACGGAGAAGGCUAUGUUGGCCGGGCGACGGUUGUCCCGGUUUAAGCGUGUAGGCUGGUUUUCCAGGCAAAUCCGGAAAAUCAAGGCUGAGGCGUGAUGACGAGGCACUACGGUGCUGAAGCAACAAAUGCCCUGCUUCCAGGAAAAGCCUCUAAGCAUCAGGUAACAUCAAAUCGUACCCCAAACCGACACAGGUGGUCAGGUAGAGAAUACCAAGGCGCUUGAGAGAACUCGGGUGAAGGAACUAGGCAAAAUGGUGCCGUAACUUCGGGAGAAGGCACGCUGAUAUGUAGGUGAAGUCCCUUGCGGAUGGAGCUGAAAUCAGUCGAAGAUACCAGCUGGCUGCAACUGUUUAUUAAAAACACAGCACUGUGCAAACACGAAAGUGGACGUAUACGGUGUGACGCCUGCCCGGUGCCGGAAGGUUAAUUGAUGGGGUCAGCGCAAGCGAAGCUCUUGAUCGAAGCCCCGGUAAACGGCGGCCGUAACUAUAACGGUCCUAAGGUAGCGAAAUUCCUUGUCGGGUAAGUUCCGACCUGCACGAAUGGCGUAAUGAUGGCCAGGCUGUCUCCACCCGAGACUCAGUGAAAUUGAACUCGCUGUGAAGAUGCAGUGUACCCGCGGCAAGACGGAAAGACCCCGUGAACCUUUACUAUAGCUUGACACUGAACAUUGAGCCUUGAUGUGUAGGAUAGGUGGGAGGCUUUGAAGUGUGGACGCCAGUCUGCAUGGAGCCGGCCUUGAAAUACCACCCUUUAAUGUUUGAUGUUCUAACGUGGACCCGUGAUCCGGGUUGCGGACAGUGUCUGGUGGGUAGUUUGACUGGGGCGGUCUCCUCCUAAAGAGUAACGGAGGAGCACGAAGGUUGGCUAAUCCUGGUCGGACAUCAGGAGGUUAGUGCAAUGGCAUAAGCCAGCUUGACUGCGAGCGUGACGGCGCGAGCAGGUGCGAAAGCAGGUCAUAGUGAUCCGGUGGUUCUGAAUGGAAGGGCCAUCGCUCAACGGAUAAAAGGUACUCCGGGGAUAACAGGCUGAUACCGCCCAAGAGUUCAUAUCGACGGCGGUGUUUGGCACCUCGAUGUCGGCUCAUCACAUCCUGGGGCUGAAGUAGGUCCCAAGGGUAUGGCUGUUCGCCAUUUAAAGUGGUACGCGAGCUGGGUUUAGAACGUCGUGAGACAGUUCGGUCCCUAUCUGCCGUGGGCGCUGGAGAACUGAGGGGGGCUGCUCCUAGUACGAGAGGACCGGAGUGGACGCAUCACUGGUGUUCGGGUUGUCAUGCCAAUGGCACUGCCCGGUAGCUAAAUGCGGAAGAGAUAAGUGCUGAAAGCAUCUAAGCACGAAACUUGCCCCGAGAUGAGUUCUCCCUGACCCUUUAAGGGUCCUGAAGGAACGUUGAAGACGACGACGUUGAUAGGCCGGGUGUGUAAGCGCAGCGAUGCGUUGAGCUAACCGGUACUAAUGAACCGUGAGGCUUAACCUUACAACGCCGAAG
This 2652-nucleotide ribosomal RNA is filed under the name Shigella sonnei. RNAcentral describes it as "partial 23S ribosomal RNA". It matches the Rfam family "Bacterial large subunit ribosomal RNA", at positions 296 to 2925 of the family's 2925-position model. The record is from RNAcentral. Lineage: Bacteria; Pseudomonadati; Pseudomonadota; Gammaproteobacteria; Enterobacterales; Enterobacteriaceae.